AACGCACCUUGCGCUCCUUGGUAUUCCUUGGAGCAUGCCUGUUUGAGUGUCAUUAAAUUCUCAACUUCAUCAGUUUUGUUAUGAGACUGUGUGAAGCUUGGAUGUGGGGGUUUGUGCAGAAUGCUUGACUGUAGACUGCUCCCCUUAAAUAAAUUAGCGAGUUCAAACUGAGCUCCGUCUAUUGGUGUGAUAAUUAUCUACGCCGUGGAUUGGACUUAGACUUGCUUCUAACCGUCCGCAAGGACAAUCUUUUGACAAUUUGACCUCAAAUCAGGUAGGACUACCCGCUGAACUUAA
This 297-nucleotide unclassified non-coding RNA is filed under the name uncultured Psathyrella. RNAcentral's name for it is "sequence contains ITS2". The record is from RNAcentral. Lineage: Eukaryota; Fungi; Basidiomycota; Agaricomycetes; Agaricales; Psathyrellaceae.